UUAGAACAGAAUGAGUCAGCACAUAAAAGCUCAGUUGAAGUCGCAAACCAAAGGAGGCCAUCUAGUAAGGUCAAUGUAUUAACUCAACAACCAACGGAUAAUCAACAACAUUCAAGUGGAGAUGGACAAUGGACGAUUGCCAAUAAAACAGUAACUCUUGACAUUGCGUCACAGAAUACAGACAUAUUUGCAGAAUAUAAUGCACAAACAAGCAAAUCGUGGAACCAAUUUUCAGCGAUUCGUCAAAACAAGUCUGCUUUAUCAACUCAUGUACAGAAUCAGAAAACGAGGAAGCUCCCAAUGAGAGUUACAAAACAAAAACAGGUCGCUCGGCUCCCUGGUUCAUAAUCCAGUCCAGCAACAAGCAUACCAUGAAUUCUGAUGUCUUUUUAACAAAAAUAGUGAUCGAAGGCAGUAAAUUACAAUCUGG
RNAcentral lists this long non-coding RNA (430 nucleotides) under Nicotiana benthamiana. RNAcentral's name for it is "long non-coding RNA (NBEN_LNC039567)". Lineage: Eukaryota; Viridiplantae; Streptophyta; Magnoliopsida; Solanales; Solanaceae. The record is from RNAcentral.